GAUGAAGAACGCAGCGAAAUGCGAUAAGUAAUGCGAAUUGCAGAAUUUCCGUGAGUCAUCGAAUCUUUGAACGCACAUUGCGCCCGCCAGUAUUCUGGCGGGCAUGCCUGUUCGAGCGUCAUUUCAACCAUCAAGCCCCCGGCUUGUGUUGGGGACCUGCGGCUGCCGCAGGCCCUGAAAAGCAGUGGCGGGCUCGCUGUCACACCGAGCGUAGUAGCAUACAUCUCGCUCUGGGCGUGCUGCGGGUUCCGGCCGUAAAACCACCUUCAUAACCCAAGGUUGACCUCGGAUCAGGUAGGAAGACCCGCUGAACUUAAGCAUAUCAAUAAGCGGAGGA
Molecule: unclassified non-coding RNA, 337 nt
Filed under: soil metagenome
Description: partial contains 5.8S ribosomal RNA, internal transcribed spacer 2, and large subunit ribosomal RNA
Rfam family: 5.8S ribosomal RNA (bases 1-121)
Source: RNAcentral